GGUUAAGCGACUAAGCGUACACGGUGGAUGCCCUGGCAGUCAGAGGCGAUGAAGGACGUGCUAAUCUGCGAUAAGCGUCGGUAAGGUGAUAUGAACCGUUAUAACCGGCGAUUUCCGAAUGGGGAAACCCAGUGUGAUUCGUCACACUAUCAUUAACUGAAUCCAUAGGUUAAUGAGGCGAACCGGGGGAACUGAAACAUCUAAGUACCCCGAGGAAAAGAAAUCAACCGAGAUUCCCCCAGUAGCGGCGAGCGAACGGGGAGCAGCCCAGAGCCUGAAUCAGUGUGUGUGUUAGUGGAAGCGUCUGGAAAGACGCGCGAUACAGGGUGACAGCCCCGUACACAAAAAUGCACAUGCUGUGAGCUCGAUGAGUAGGGCGGGACACGUGGUAUCCUGUCUGAAUAUGGGGGGACCAUCCUCCAAGGCUAAAUACUCCUGACUGACCGAUAGUGAACCAGUACCGUGAGGGAAAGGCGAAAAGAACCCCGGCGAGGGGAGUGAAAAAGAACCUGAAACCGUGUACGUACAAGCAGUGGGAGCACGCUUAGGCGUGUGACUGCGUACCUUUUGUAUAAUGGGUCAGCGACUUAUAUUCUGUAGCAAGGUUAACCGAAUAGGGGAGCCGAAGGGAAACCGAGUCUUAACUGGGCGUUAAGUUGCAGGGUAUAGACCCGAAACCCGGUGAUCUAGCCAUGGGCAGGUUGAAGGUUGGGUAACACUAACUGGAGGACCGAACCGACUAAUGUUGAAAAAUUAGCGGAUGACUUGUGGCUGGGGGUGAAAGGCCAAUCAAACCGGGAGAUAGCUGGUUCUCCCCGAAAGCUAUUUAGGUAGCGCCUCGUGAAUUCAUCUCCGGGGGUAGAGCACUGUUUCGGCAAGGGGGUCAUCCCGACUUACCAACCCGAUGCAAACUGCGAAUACCGGAGAAUGUUAUCACGGGAGACACACGGCGGGUGCUAACGUCCGUCGUGAAGAGGGAAACAACCCAGACCGCCAGCUAAGGUCCCAAAGUCAUGGUUAAGUGGGAAACGAUGUGGGAAGGCCCAGACAGCCAGGAUGUUGGCUUAGAAGCAGCCAUCAUUUAAAGAAAGCGUAAUAGCUCACUGGUCGAGUCGGCCUGCGCGGAAGAUGUAACGGGGCUAAACCAUGCACCGAAGCUGCGGCAGCGACGCUUAUGCGUUGUUGGGUAGGGGAGCGUUCUGUAAGCCUGUGAAGGUGUACUGUGAGGUAUGCUGGAGGUAUCAGAAGUGCGAAUGCUGACAUAAGUAACGAUAAAGCGGGUGAAAAGCCCGCUCGCCGGAAGACCAAGGGUUCCUGUCCAACGUUAAUCGGGGCAGGGUGAGUCGACCCCUAAGGCGAGGCCGAAAGGCGUAGUCGAUGGGAAACAGGUUAAUAUUCCUGUACUUGGUGUUACUGCGAAGGGGGGACGGAGAAGGCUAUGUUGGCCGGGCGACGGUUGUCCCGGUUUAAGCGUGUAGGCUGGUUUUCCAGGCAAAUCCGGAAAAUCAAGGCUGAGGCGUGAUGACGAGGCACUACGGUGCUGAAGCAACAAAUGCCCUGCUUCCAGGAAAAGCCUCUAAGCAUCAGGUAACAUCAAAUCGUACCCCAAACCGACACAGGUGGUCAGGUAGAGAAUACCAAGGCGCUUGAGAGAACUCGGGUGAAGGAACUAGGCAAAAUGGUGCCGUAACUUCGGGAGAAGGCACGCUGAUAUGUAGGUGAAGUCCCUCGCGGAUGGAGCUGAAAUCAGUCGAAGAUACCAGCUGGCUGCAACUGUUUAUUAAAAACACAGCACUGUGCAAACACGAAAGUGGACGUAUACGGUGUGACGCCUGCCCGGUGCCGGAAGGUUAAUUGAUGGGGUUAGCGCAAGCGAAGCUCUUGAUCGAAGCCCCGGUAAACGGCGGCCGUAACUAUAACGGUCCUAAGGUAGCGAAAUUCCUUGUCGGGUAAGUUCCGACCUGCACGAAUGGCGUAAUGAUGGCCAGGCUGUCUCCACCCGAGACUCAGUGAAAUUGAACUCGCUGUGAAGAUGCAGUGUACCCGCGGCAAGACGGAAAGACCCCGUGAACCUUUACUAUAGCUUGACACUGAACAUUGAGCCUUGAUGUGUAGGAUAGGUGGGAGGCUUUGAAGUGUGGACGCCAGUCUGCAUGGAGCCGACCUUGAAAUACCACCCUUUAAUGUUUGAUGUUCUAACGUUGACCCGUAAUCCGGGUUGCGGACAGUGUCUGGUGGGUAGUUUGACUGGGGCGGUCUCCUCCUAAAGAGUAACGGAGGAGCACGAAGGUUGGCUAAUCCUGGUCGGACAUCAGGAGGUUAGUGCAAUGGCAUAAGCCAGCUUGACUGCGAGCGUGACGGCGCGAGCAGGUGCGAAAGCAGGUCAUAGUGAUCCGGUGGUUCUGAAUGGAAGGGCCAUCGCUCAACGGAUAAAAGGUACUCCGGGGAUAACAGGCUGAUACCGCCCAAGAGUUCAUAUCGACGGCGGUGUUUGGCACCUCGAUGUCGGCUCAUCACAUCCUGGGGCUGAAGUAGGUCCCAAGGGUAUGGCUGUUCGCCAUUUAAAGUGGUACGCGAGCUGGGUUUAGAACGUCGUGAGACAGUUCGGUCCCUAUCUGCCGUGGGCGCUGGAGAACUGAGGGGGGCUGCUCCUAGUACGAGAGGACCGGAGUGGACGCAUCACUGGUGUUCGGGUUGUCAUGCCAAUGGCACUGCCCGGUAGCUAAAUGCGGAAGAGAUAAGUGCUGAAAGCAUCUAAGCACGAAACUUGCCCCGAGAUGAGUUCUCCCUGACUCCUUGAGAGUCCUGAAGGAACGUUGAAGACGACGACGUUGAUAGGCCGGGUGUGUAAGCGCAGCGAUGCGUUGAGCUAACCGGUACUAAUGAACCGUGAGGCUUAACCUU
Molecule: ribosomal RNA, 2904 nt
Filed under: Escherichia coli
Lineage: Bacteria; Pseudomonadati; Pseudomonadota; Gammaproteobacteria; Enterobacterales; Enterobacteriaceae
Description: 23S ribosomal RNA
Rfam family: Bacterial large subunit ribosomal RNA
Source: RNAcentral